RNAcentral lists this ribosomal RNA (372 nucleotides) under uncultured bacterium. Its description in RNAcentral is "bacterial SSU rRNA". It matches the Rfam family "Bacterial small subunit ribosomal RNA", at positions 790 to 1167 of the family's 1533-position model. The record is from RNAcentral.
GUAGUCUUAGCCAUAAACGAUGUUCACUAGGUGUCGGGGCGUAAGCUUCGGUGCCGCAGCUAACGCAUUAAGUGAACCGCCUGGGGACUACGGCCGCAAGGUUGAAACUCAAAGGAAUUGGCGGGGGCCCGCACAAGCGGUGGAGCAUGUGGCUUAAUUCGAUGCAACGCGAAGAACCUUACCAGGGUUUGACAUGGAUCUGCAAGCUCGUGAAAGCGAGUCGCCUUCGAGGGUGAUCCACAGGUGGUGCAUGGCUGUCGUCAGCUCGUGUUGUGAAAUGUUGGGUUAAGUCCCGCAACGAGCGCAACCCUCAUUGUCUGUUGCCAGCGCGUAAUGGCGGGAACUCGGACGAAACUGCCUCUGUAAAGAGGA